AACGAACGCUGGCGGCAGGCCUAACACAUGCAAGUCGAGCGAGGACUUCGGUCCUAGCGGCGGACGGGUGAGUAACGCGUGGGAACGUGCCCUUUGCUUCGGAAUAGCCCUGGGAAACUGGGAGUAAUACCGGAUGAGCCCUUUUGGGGAAAGAUUUAUCGGCGAAGGAUCGGCCCGCGUUGGAUUAGGUAGUUGGUGGGGUAAUGGCCUACCAAGCCGACGAUCCAUAGCUGGUUUGAGAGGAUGAUCAGCCACACUGGGACUGAGACACGGCCCAGACUCCUACGGGAGGCAGGAGUGGGGAAUCUUAGACAAUGGGGGAAACCCUGAUCUAGCCAUGCCGCGUGAGCGAUGAAGGCCUUAGGGUUGUAAAGCUCUUUCAGCUGGGAAGAUAAUGACGGUACCAGCAGAAGAAGCCCCGGCUAACUCCGUG
This 433-nucleotide ribosomal RNA is filed under the name uncultured bacterium. RNAcentral's name for it is "partial 16S ribosomal RNA". It matches the Rfam family "Bacterial small subunit ribosomal RNA", at positions 29 to 507 of the family's 1533-position model. The record is from RNAcentral.